Molecule: small nuclear RNA, 104 nt
Organism: Suncus etruscus (white-toothed pygmy shrew)
Lineage: Eukaryota; Metazoa; Chordata; Mammalia; Eulipotyphla; Soricidae
Source: RefSeq, a predicted model, not a curated record
GUGCUCGCUUUGGCAGCACACAUACUAAAAUUGAAACAAAACAGAGAUUAGCAUGGUCCCUGCGCAAGGAUGACACACAGAUUCAUGAAGCAUUCCAUAUUAAA